GGGUUGUGGCUCAAUGGUAGAGUGCUUGCCUAGCAUGUGUGGAGCAGUGGGUGUGAUUCUCAGCACCACAUAAAAUUAAAAAAAUAAGAAAUGGAUAGGGAUGUUUCAGUGGUUAAGCGUUCCUGGGUUCAAACUCCAGGACCCA
Molecule: transfer RNA, 145 nt
Filed under: Marmota monax (woodchuck)
Lineage: Eukaryota; Metazoa; Chordata; Mammalia; Rodentia; Sciuridae
Description: tRNA.Ala
Source: RNAcentral